UGAGUACGAGCUGCUACGGCAGCGAAGUGGGUGACGUCAAGCUUCCAAGAAAAGCCCUAUACCCGUUAAGGCAUGACUGCCUGUACCCGAAACCGACACAGGUGGGGUGGUAGAGAAUACCGAGGGGCGCGAGGUAACUCUCUCUAAGGAACUCGGCAAAAUGGCCCCGUAACUUCGGGAGAAGGGGUGCCACCGCAAGGUGGUCGCAGUGAAGAGGCCCAGGCGACUGUUUACCAAAAACACAGGUCUCCGCUAAGUCGCAAGACGAUGUAUGGGGGCUGACGCCUGCCCAGUGCCGGAAGGUUAAGGAAGCUGGUCAGCGCAAGCGAAGCUAGCGACUGAAGCCCCGGUGAACGGCGGCCGUAACUAUAACGGUCCUAAGGUAGCGAAAUUCCUUGUCGGGUAAGUUCCGACCCGCACGAAAGGCGUAACGAUCUGGGCGCUGUCUCGGAGAGAGGCUCGGCGAAAUAGAAUUGUCUGUGAAGAUGCGGACUACGUGCACCCGGACAGAGAGACCCUAUGAAGCUUUACUGUAGCUUGGUAUUGUGCCCGGGCUCUGAAUGCGCAGGAUAGGUGGGAGGCUUUGAUCCAUUGCUUGCGGGUGAUGGUGAGCCAACGGUGUGAUACCACUCUUUCAGAGCUAGGGUUCUAACGGUCACCCGUUAUCCGGGGACCGGACAGUAUCAGGUGGGCAGUUUGACUGGGGCGGUCGCCUCCUAAAAGGUAACGGAGGCGCGCAAAGGUUCCCUCAGGCUGGUUGGAAAUCAGCCGACGAGUGUAAAGGCAGAAGGGAGCUUGACUGUGAGACCAACAAGUCGAACAGGGACGAAAGUCGGCCUUAGUGAUCCGACGGUUCUGAGUGGAAGGGCCGUCGCUCAACGGAUAAAAGUUACUCUAGGAUAACAGGCUGAUCUCCCCCAAGAGUUCACAUCGACGGGGAGGUUUGGCACCUCGAUGUCGGCUCAUCGCAACCUGGGGCUGAAGUCGGUCCCAAGGGUUGGGCUGUUCGCCCAUUAAAGCGGUACGCGAGCUGGGUUCAGAACGUUGUGAGACAGUUCGGUCCAUAUCCGGUGCAUGCGCAGGAACAUUGAGAGGAUUUCUCCCUAGUACGAGAGGACCGGGAGGAACGCACCUCUGGUGUACCAGUUAUCGUGCCAACGGUAAACGCUGGGUAGCCAUGUGCGGAGCGGAUAACCGCUUAAGCAUCUAAGUGGGGAGCCCACCUCAAGCUGAGUGUUCCCAU
This 1243-nucleotide ribosomal RNA is filed under the name metagenome. RNAcentral describes it as "bacterial LSU rRNA". It matches the Rfam family "Bacterial large subunit ribosomal RNA", at positions 1564 to 2817 of the family's 2925-position model. The record is from RNAcentral.